Molecule: ribosomal RNA, 460 nt
Filed under: uncultured bacterium
Lineage: Bacteria
Description: partial 16S ribosomal RNA
Rfam family: Bacterial small subunit ribosomal RNA
Source: RNAcentral
CCUACGGGAGGCUGCAGUGAGGAAUAUUGGUCAAUGGACGAGAGUCUGAACCAGCCAAGUAGCGUGAAGGAUGACUGCCCUAUGGGUUGUAAACUUCUUUUAUAUGGGAAUAAAAUGUUCCACGUGUGGGAUUUUGUAUGUACCAUAUGAAUAAGGAUCGGCUAACUCCGUGCCAGCAGCCGCGGUAAUACGGAGGAUCCGAGCGUUAUCCGGAUUUAUUGGGUUUAAAGGGAGCGUAGGUGGAUUGUUAAGUCAGUUGUGAAAGUUUGCGGCUCAACCGUAAAAUUGCAGUUGAAACUGGCAGUCUUGAGUACAGUAGAGGUGGGCGGAAUUCGUGGUGUAGCGGUGAAAUGCUUAGAUAUCACGAAGAACUCCGAUUGCGAAGGCAGCUCACUGGACUGCAACUGACACUGAGGCUCGAAAGUGUGGGUAUCGAACAGGAUUAGAUACCCCAGUAGUC